This 617-nucleotide ribosomal RNA is filed under the name Planomicrobium sp. T32602BY0. RNAcentral's name for it is "SSU rRNA". It matches the Rfam family "Bacterial small subunit ribosomal RNA", at positions 840 to 1458 of the family's 1533-position model. The record is from RNAcentral. Lineage: Bacteria; Bacillati; Bacillota; Bacilli; Caryophanales; Caryophanaceae.
UUAGUGCUGCAGUAACGCAUUAAGCACUCCGCUGGGGAGUACGGCCGCAAGGCUGAAACUCAAAGGAAUUGACGGGGGCCCGCACAAGCGGUGAGCAUGUGGUUUAAUUCGAAGCAACGCGAAGAACCUUACCAGGUCUUGACAUCCCGCUGCCCGCCUAGGAGACUAGGCUUUCCCUUCGGGGACAGCGGUGACAGGUGGUGCAUGGUUGUCGUCAGCUCGUGUCGUGAGAUGUUGGGUUAAGUCCCGCAACGAGCGCAACCCUUGAUCUUAGUUGCCAGCAUUCAGUUGGGCACUCUAAGGUGACUGCCGGUGACAAACCGGAGGAAGGUGGGGAUGACGUCAAAUCAUCAUGCCCCUUAUGACCUGGGCUACACACGUGCUACAAUGGACGGUACAAAGGGCUGCAAACCCGCGAGGGGGAGCCAAUCCCAGAAAACCGUUCUCAGUUCGGAUUGCAGGCUGCAACUCGCCUGCAUGAAGCCGGAAUCGCUAGUAAUCGUGGAUCAGCAUGCCACGGUGAAUACGUUCCCGGGCCUUGUACACACCGCCCGUCACACCACGAGAGUUUGUAACACCCGAAGUCGGUGAGGUAACCCUUGUGGAGCCAGCCGCCG